This 484-nucleotide ribosomal RNA is filed under the name uncultured bacterium. RNAcentral's name for it is "partial 16S ribosomal RNA". It matches the Rfam family "Bacterial small subunit ribosomal RNA", at positions 29 to 507 of the family's 1533-position model. The record is from RNAcentral.
AACGAACGCUGGCGGCAUGCUUUACACAUGCAAGUCGAACGACAGCGCGGGCUUCGGCCUCGCAGCGAGUGGUGAACGGGUGAGAAAUGCAUCGAAACGUGCACUGACGCGGGGGAUAGCGCGGCGAAAGCCGGAUUUAUACCGCAUCCGACCUGAGGGUGACAGCGGGGGGGCGCAAGGCCUCGCGGCUUUUGGGCGGGGGAAGUCGGAUUAGCUAGGUGGUGGGGUAAAGGCUUACCAAGGCGGCGAUCCGUAGCUGGUCUCAGAGGACGACCAGCUACAUGGGGAGUGAGACACGUCCCAGACUCCGACGCGAGGCAGCAGUGGGGAAUCUUGGACAAGGGGGGAAACCCGGAUCCAGCAAUGCCGCGGGAGGGAUGAAGGAGUACGGCUGGGAAACCGAUUUUGGUCGGGAAGAAGUCCUGUGCGUUUAUACCCGAGGGUGAUGACGGUACCGGAAGAAUAAGCACCGGCUAACUCCGUG